GAUGAACGCUGGCGGCGUGCUUAACACAUGCAAGUCGAGCGAUGAAGUUUCCUUCGGGAAACGGAUUAGCGGCGGACGGGUGAGUAACACGUGGGUAACCUGCCUCAUAGAGUGGAAUAGCUUCGGGAAACCGGAGCUAAUACCGGAUAAUAUUUUGAGCCGCAUGGUUCAAAAGUGAAAGACGGUCUUGCUGUCACUUAUAGAUGGAUCCGCGCUGCAUUAGCUAGUUGGUAAGGUAACGGCUUACCAAGGCAACGAUGCAUAGCCGACCUGAGAGGGUGAUCGGCCACACUGGAACUGAGACACGGUCCAG
This 313-nucleotide ribosomal RNA is filed under the name uncultured bacterium. RNAcentral describes it as "bacterial SSU rRNA". It matches the Rfam family "Bacterial small subunit ribosomal RNA", at positions 28 to 334 of the family's 1533-position model. The record is from RNAcentral.